Molecule: long non-coding RNA, 538 nt
Filed under: Rattus norvegicus (Norway rat)
Lineage: Eukaryota; Metazoa; Chordata; Mammalia; Rodentia; Muridae
Description: long non-coding RNA NONRATT014684
Source: RNAcentral
CCCUCACCAGCCGUGUACUUACUAGCUGUUAGGGCUGAGAGCUGGGACCUAGAGGGAAAUUCAGUCAUGUUUGUCCUGGGUUCCAUCGAGAUAGGUGGGGGGAUAGGCUUGAUUUCUAUUACAAAUGAUGUAACAUUACAUAUGUUAGUACUCCUAACACUUCUUGGGACUGUGCCUCAGGGAUCACAACCUGUAUAAGUUUAAAAGUUCUAAAAGACAGUCAUGACCUUGAUAUAUAGGUUCAGAUAGUGUCCAGAUAGAAUCCUGAUGCUAAAAACUUAAUAAAAAAAAGAGUUGAGAAUUACUUAGGGCUAGGGCUAUCUAGGUGCUGCAAGGGCAGCACAAGGACAUCUGCUGUUGCCCUACAAUACAAAGCUUAUAGAGAAUUCAGAACUGCCAUUGACUCAGAUAUAAAAAGAAUGAAAGACUUUUUAGCUGACCUCCAAGAAUACCUAACCUCCCUCUCAGAGGUAGUCCUUCAAAAUAAGAAAAGAUCAGACCUGAUAUUCCUUAAAGAAGGAAUCUGUGUGCUACACUG